This 608-nucleotide long non-coding RNA is filed under the name Homo sapiens (human). Its description in RNAcentral is "HSALNT0341220". Lineage: Eukaryota; Metazoa; Chordata; Mammalia; Primates; Hominidae. The record is from RNAcentral.
ACUCUGCUCCCCAGCCUAAGCCAUAAUUAAAGGGGACAUUGAGACAUAUUGCUGUGCCCAGCACCUAUGUGAUGUGACUCUCCUUUCCUGCCCAGGCUAUGCCUAAAAGAAAUUGUUACAUAUCAUGGAGCCAAGAUCCCAGUUGAUUUAACUCUCCUGCUGGGCCCUGCUCACAUGGGAAAUAUUGGCAUAUUCCUUGCCUAGCACUCAGAAGGCGUUGUAACAUCUCACUAAGCCCAGCACUCAGGCGAUGUGGCUUUCCUGCUAUGGCACUGCACACAAGAAGAAUGUUGACAUAUUCCUGGCCCAGAAUUCAGGUGGUUUGGUGACUCUCAAACCAUGAUUCAGCAGACCUGUGAGGCUGUGAGUUCCCUAUCAGAACACAAUCUGCAGGUUGUAUUGUGCCAUAUACCUGGGACCAAAUUACAAGCACAAUGAUGAAUCUUUUACCUGGAGUCAAGACAUGGGCAGGAUGAUGGAACUUAUCACUGGACCUUUCCACAGUGUUAUUGUGACAUAUGCCUUUGCCCAACAUGUGGUGAUUUGACUCCCCAGACUGGGUCCAGUUCACAAAUAAAAUUGUGCCGUAUACUUGGCCAAGAACCUAA